GACGAACGCUGGCGGCGUGCCUAACACAUGCAAGUCAAAGGGAAGCAACUUCGGUUGUAAGUACUUGGCGCAAGGGUGAGUAAUGUAUAGGUAAUCUGCCCUUUGGACUGGGAUAACCCCGAGAAAUCGGGGACAAUACCAGAUGAUGCAGCGGGACCGCAUGGUACUGUUGUUAAAGAUUUAUCGCCGAAGGAUUGGCCCGCGUCUGAUUAGCUAGUUGGUGAGGUAACGGCCCACCAAGGCGACGAUCAGUAGCUGGUCUGAGAGGAUGAUCAGCCACAUUGGGACUGAGACACGGCCCAAACUCCUACGGGUGGCAG
RNAcentral lists this ribosomal RNA (320 nucleotides) under uncultured Chlorobiota bacterium. RNAcentral describes it as "bacterial SSU rRNA". It matches the Rfam family "Bacterial small subunit ribosomal RNA", at positions 28 to 351 of the family's 1533-position model. Lineage: Bacteria; Pseudomonadati; Chlorobiota. The record is from RNAcentral.